RNA transcript from Mirounga angustirostris (Northern elephant seal), 3385 nucleotides. It is a transcript of the gene named alpha-mannosidase 2-like, with no coding region annotated. Lineage: Eukaryota; Metazoa; Chordata; Mammalia; Carnivora; Phocidae. The transcript has 18 exons. The record is from RefSeq and is a predicted model, not a curated record.
AUGAAGUUCUGCGACCACGUGAGUAUGGAGAUCCUGUCCCCCGUCUUUGCCACCCUGCACCCCGGUUUCUACCAGGCAGCCCGCAAGGACUUCAGCUACGAGCAUUGGCCACAGUCUCAGGCACACAUCCCCAGGGACAAGGGCGACUUUUACUACAUGAGGACCUUUUUUGGGGGGUCGGUGGUAGAGGUUCACCGACUGACCUUGGCCUGUCACCAGGCAAUGGGGGUCAACCUGGCCACUGGGAUUGAGGCUGUGUGGCACAAUGAGAGCCACGUGAACAGGCACUUGCUGGACCAUAAGCCCAUUAAGGUGCUGUCCCCAGAGGACCCGUGGGACCCUCAGCUGCUGGGCUGUCCCCGAGAGGACCUCCACUGCCAGGCUGCAGCCUGGGAAAUUGGCUAUCCCGAGUUCCUCCAGCUGCUGGGGGAGCGCCUGCCCCCUCCUCUCUGCCUGAGGGCUGGCCAGCUCUCAAUGUUGCAAGGAAAAAUAGACCAUUUGGAGCGUUUGCUAGCUGAGAAUAAUGAGAUCAUCUCAAACAUUAGAGACUCGGUCAUCAAUUUGAGUGAGUCUGUGGAGGAUGGUCCAAAAAGUUCACAAGGCAAUUUCAGCCAAGGUGCUGGCGCACCUCUUCUGCCAUCAAAACAGUUGUCCCUUGUAGUGGACCCUGAAGACUGUUCGUUCGCUUUGCAAAGUGGAAGUCGGAAUUCAGAUGUGCAGAUGUUGGAUGUUUACAGUCUAAUUCCUUUUGACAAUCCAGAUGGUGGAGUUUGGAAACAAGGAUUUGACAUUAGCUAUUUAUUUAAUGAAUGGGACUCUAAGCCCCUUCAAGUCUUUGUGGUGCCUCAUUCCCAUAAUGACCCAGGUUGGUUGAAGACUUUUGAUGACUACUUUAGAGAGAUGACUCAGUAUAUUUUUAAUAACAUGGUCAUCAAGCUGAAAGAAGACUCACGGAGAAAAUUUAUGUGGUCUGAGAUUUCUUACCUUUCAAAGUGGUGGGAUACUAUAGAUAAGCCGAAGAAGGAUGCUGUUAAAAGUUUGCUACAGAAUGGUCAGUUUGAAAUUGUGACAGGUGGCUGGGUUAUGCCUGAUGAAGCUGCUCCACAUUAUUUUGCCUUAAUUGACCAACUAAUUGAAGGACAUCAGUGGCUGGAAAAAAAUCUAGGAGUGAAACCUCGGUCCGGUUGGUCUAUUGAUCCUUUUGGACAUUCACCAACAAUGGCUUAUCUCCUCAAACGCGCCGGAUUUUCUCACAUGCUUAUUCAGAGAGUUCAUUAUGCAGUUAAAAAACAUUUUGCAUUGCAUAAAACGCUGGAAUUUUUUUGGAGACAGAAUUGGGAUCUGGGAUCUGGCACAGAUAUUUUUUGCCACAUGAUGCCUUUCUACAGCUAUGACAUCCCUCGUACGUGUGGACCUGAUCCUAAAAUAUGCUGCCAGUUUGAUUUUAAACGGCUUCCCGGAGGCAGAUUUGGUUGUCCCUGGGGAGUCCCCCCAGAAACAAUACAUCUUGGAAAUGUCCAAAAGAGGGCUGAGAUGCUUCUAGAUCAGUACCGAAAGAAGUCAAAGCUCUUCCGUACUACAGUUGUCCUGGCCCCACUAGGAGAUGAUUUUCGCUACUGUGAACUCAUAGAAUGGGAUCAUCAGUAUAAGAAUUAUCAGCUGCUUUUUGAUUAUAUGAAUUCUCAUCCUGAGUAUAAUGUUAAGAUACAGUUUGGGACUUUAUCAGAUUAUUUUGAUGCACUGGAUAAAGAAGAUGUAACCAUUAGAAAGAAUAGCCAAUCCAUGUUCCCUGUUCUAAGUGGAGAUUUUUUCACUUAUGCUGACCGAGACGAUCAUUACUGGAGCGGCUACUUUACAUCCAGACCCUUCUACAAACGAAUGGAUAGGAUAUUGGAAUCCCAUCUAAGGGCUGCUGAAAUUCUUUACUAUUUCGCCCUGAAACAAGCUCAGAAAUACAAGAUAAGUAAAUUUCUUUCAUCAUCCCAUUACAUGGCACUGACAGAAGCCAGAAGAAAUUUGGGACUGUUUCAACAUCAUGAUGCUAUCACAGGAACUGCAAAAGAUUGGGUGGUUGUGGAUUAUGGUACCAGACUCUUUCAUUCAUUAACGAAUUUGAAGAAGAUAAUUGGAUAUUCUGCACUACUUCUUAUUUUGAAGGACAAAAACUCGUACAACUCUUACUCUUUUGAUAACCUCCUAGACAUGGAUUUGAAACAAAACUCACACGGUUCUCUACCACAAAAAACUGUAAUAACACUGAGUGCAGAGCCAAGGUAUCUUGUGGUCUGUAAUCCUUCAGAAUAAGACCGAAUCUCAGUGGUCUCAGUCUAUGUGAGUUCCCCCACAGCACAAGUGUCUUCUGCUUCCGGAAAGCCUGUGGAAAUUCAGAUGAGUGCAGUUUGGAAUACAGCAACUACUAUUUCACAGACAGCCUAUGAGAUCUCCUUCCUAGUGCAGAUGCCACCACUCGGACUGAAAGUGUAUAGAAUUUUGGAAUCAGCAAGUUCAGACCCACAUUUAGCUGAGUAUGUGCUGCAUAAUGGUAACGUAAAAGAUAAAGGAAUUUUCAACAUGAAGAAUGUAAAAAGUACUGAAGAAGAUAUAACUCUAGAGAACUCCUUUGUUAAACUUCGGUUUGAUCAGUCUGGGCUUUUGGAGGAAAUGAUAAAUAAAGAAGACAGUAAACAUCAUGAAGUAAAAGUGCAAUUUUCAUGGUAUGGAACCACCAGUAAAAAGGACAAAAGUGGUGCCUACCUCUUCUUGCCUGAUGGGGAAGCCAAGAAUUUACUCCCAGGCCAUAAACUUUUGUUUCUUCAGUUUCUUCUGGGAUAUCUUUUUCUUCUGUGCAACCUCCCCUUCUGGUUUAGGAACAAUCUGCUCUUUUUCAGUAAGGAUGAUCUCAGUGUGGCAGGGAUAGCUCACGUGUGGGUGAAUCCGACCAGGAACCCGGUAACCUGGAUGGGGAGGACCAUGCUGCAGAGCGAACAGUGGAGGAUGUUUCCCUCCUAAAGUUCAUGCUGGGCACCUUCCCAGGGUGUCUGACUGUCCAGCUGAUCUUAAAGCGCUGGGCUAACCAGUUGGAGAUCUGUGCCCUGGUCCUGAGGGCACAGAAGUUCUACUUCCUGGUGGGCUACAGUGAGACUCUGGUGUCCCACUUUUACAAAUGUCCCGUCCAUCUGCACCUCCAGACUGUGCCCUCCAAGGUCAUGUAUACAUACAUCUAAGACAGUCACCUUUUCUGCAUCAGGCUCUAGCCUGCGAAGACAGAACCAUGUGGAAAGAAGUGAAGUAGAAAUGGGGAAAUACAUCACCUCACUGUCUCAAGGAUUCCUUUUCAAAGCUGCUGUUGAAUAAAUAGACCUUCUCUGUUGUCUUGUCUCUUGGU